UACGUAGGGUGCAAGCGUUAAUCGGAAUUACUGGGCGUAAAGGGCUCGUAGGCGGCCAACUAAGUCAGACGUGAAAUCCCCAGGCUCAACCUGGGAACUGCGUCUGAUACUGGAUGGCUUGAAUUCGGGAGAGGGAUGCAGAAUUCCAGGUGUAGCGGUGAAAUGCGUAGAUAUCUGGAGGAAUACCGGUGGCGAAGGCGGCAUCCUGGACCGACAUUGACGCUGAGGAGCGAAAGCUAGGGGAGCAAACGGG
RNAcentral lists this ribosomal RNA (253 nucleotides) under uncultured bacterium. Its description in RNAcentral is "partial 16S ribosomal RNA". It matches the Rfam family "Bacterial small subunit ribosomal RNA", at positions 524 to 776 of the family's 1533-position model. The record is from RNAcentral.